Mytilus trossulus (common blue mussel) is the source of this 2049-nucleotide long non-coding RNA. RefSeq lists it as uncharacterized. The record is from RefSeq and is a predicted model, not a curated record. The transcript has 3 exons. Lineage: Eukaryota; Metazoa; Mollusca; Bivalvia; Mytilida; Mytilidae.
GCCAGAGAAAACCAGGCAGAACUUGGAAAUUUUGUUCAACAGCCUUUUUGAGAUAAAUGUGUUUUUGUAAUGUAUCCACCUUGUUUUGUUGGGAAAUGACAUUUUAAAAAGUCAUAUUGGGUUAUUAUGUAUAAAAAAAUUAAUUUGAUUUUUCAGUAAAUUUGACUGCUUAUAUAGGGAAAUAAGGGUAUUAAUUUCCCAACAAAAACAGCCUACAAUAUAACAAUUGAUAUAUAUUCUAAAAGAUGACCAUGAAUACAACAGGAAAUGAUAAUAACAUCUUUGGUAUCUGUUGAUAUGUAAAUGUUCUAAUGCAGUAAACUGUCAGGAAACAGCAGUUUAUUUUCGUCUUUUUGGUGUUUAGACAUACCAAAAGUGAUGCUCUUCAAUUUAAAAACCGAUAAAGGUUGUAACCAGCUGGUAAUAUUUUGACAGAAAAAUGAACUUCUGUUGUAUAUUUGUAUACAUAAUUGAACAUUUUGAUAAGAUUUAAGAAAAGUACAUAACUUUGUGGUGUUGGGAAACUUAUUUCCCUCACCAGGAGAUUGUUGCAUACAUGUACGGGUGAUCACUUCCAGACAGAGGUAGUUACAAUACGUAUCUGUACGGGAAUGAGGAUUAUUUAUAAGACUGAAAUUAUUGUAUUAUUUGCUGGAAAUGUGGAAUAUGAGGAAUUUAAAGCCAUUCGUGAGUAGUUUUUGAUGAUUCAGCUGGAGAAAUGCUGGAAAUUAUACAGUUUUCUCCCACCUCAAAACAGUACAUGAUAUAUCAUGGACACCAAAAGCAAACUAUAAAGAUCUAAAUGCCAUAAUUUUGUGCAUCUUGAAAACUGGAAAGGCGGAUCACUUUGAAGCAGAUGAUAGUGAUAGUGUUUAAAAGAAUUCUUUGUGACAGUUAUACCAGUUGGAACAGAUAAAAGAUACAUCAGAUGACAGACUUACAUAUAGAGGAGCCUAUAAUUAGGGAAAUGGAUCAACUUGAUUUUGAAGCUAACCUACUGCAUUAAUAUGAAAAUUCAUAAGUGACUGAGCUUAAAGAAAAUCACACAUGAAACUGUAAUGAGUUUGGGAGACUCAUACAACAGAACAUUUAAAUACCUAUUAAUUUUUUUAUGUAUAUGUUUGACUUUUGGUAAUAUUUUGGAAGUUACUUUAGUAAUUGAGAGACUCAAUGUUGAAAAUGACAAUUUUGAUAGAGGACAAUUUUAAGAAUAUCAACUUAGUUGUUUAUGAAUCUUUAUUUUUUAAAAUAUUACUAGGUGUCUGACAGAAUUUUUUAAAAAUUUCUGAAACUAUUUAGAUAUUUAUCAUGUUUCAUGUGUUUAUAUAGGCAAAUAUUUAUACAUGUCAUUUAUGUUAUGCAAGGGUUUAUAUGAAUUUCUAAAAAGAUGUAUAUAUAUGUGUUGAUAAAAUAAGUUCCAAAUUAUUACAGAGUAACAGAAAAUGGGAUCAAUUUCUAUUAAAACAAAUCUGUUGAAAGGGAAUGAAAAGUCAAAAAUUGUAUUUUUUUAAAUAAUUGUGUUAACAUUUUUGUGCUAUUUAGAAAUAUGUACACAAAAAAAAUAAACUUUAAUAUAAGUAUCAAUGUAGUAUGCCCUUGUUAUUUUUUGUUUUGUGCAGUACAUGCAUUUGAAUCUUGAUCAAAAUUUAUGGAUUGAAUUACUAAACAGAAUAAACUAAUUGUUAUGUUAACACUGUUGCUAAGUAUAUGUCACAUUUAAUGAGGCCAAGUUAUCCGUCUUAUUAACAAAGGAGGUUUGAUAUGAUUGCCAAUUUCAAGGCUGCAUGUACCUAUCACAGUUCUCUUUAGGCCAUAAUCAUUGUGAUGUAUGGGAAUAAUUCUCUGUUGUCAUAUUCUGACUUUUAUACAAACCAAGUGAUGAAGAUAAAGGGUGCUUCUAUUUCCAAAGGUUUUGAAGAAACUGCUAUGGAACACAAUAAAAAUCAGAAGAUGUAGUAUAACAGUGGCGGAUCCAGAAAUUUUCAUAAGAGGGGGCACACUGACUGACCUAAGGGGGCCCCUCCAGUCACGCUUCAGUGAUUCCCUAAA